CGGAAUGUAGCGCAGCCCGGUAGCGUACCUCGUUCGGGACGAGGGGGUCGGAGGUUCGAAUUCUCUCAUUCCGA
This 74-nucleotide transfer RNA is filed under the name Polynucleobacter meluiroseus. RNAcentral's name for it is "tRNA_Pro_CGG". It matches the Rfam family "tRNA". From Rfam's summary of the family: Transfer RNA (tRNA) molecules are approximately 80 nucleotides in length. Lineage: Bacteria; Pseudomonadati; Pseudomonadota; Betaproteobacteria; Burkholderiales; Burkholderiaceae. The record is from RNAcentral.